This 72-nucleotide transfer RNA is filed under the name Marmota monax (woodchuck). RNAcentral describes it as "tRNA.Ala". Lineage: Eukaryota; Metazoa; Chordata; Mammalia; Rodentia; Sciuridae. The record is from RNAcentral.
GGGGUUGUAGCUCAGUGGUUGAGUGCUUACCUCGCACGUACGAGACACUGGGUUCUAUCCUCAGCAUCACAU